This 465-nucleotide ribosomal RNA is filed under the name uncultured bacterium. RNAcentral's name for it is "partial 16S ribosomal RNA". It matches the Rfam family "Bacterial small subunit ribosomal RNA", at positions 28 to 506 of the family's 1533-position model. The record is from RNAcentral.
GACGAACGCUGGCGGCGUGCUUAACACAUGCAAGUCGAACGAUGACGACCGAGCUUGCUCGGUCUGAUUAGUGGCGAACGGGUGAGUAACACGUGAGCAACCUGCCCUUCACUCUGGGAUAACCUCGGGAAAUCGGGGCUAAUACCGGAUAUGAGCUCCUGUCGCAUGGCGGGUGUUGGAAAGUUUUUCGGUGAAGGAUGGGCUCGCGGCCUAUCAGUUUGUUGGUGAGGUAGUGGCUCACCAAGGCGAUGACGGGUAGCCGGCCUGAGAGGGCGACCGCCACACUGGGACUGAGACACGGCCCAGACUCCUACGGGAGGCAGCAGUGGGGAAUAUUGCACAAUGGGCGAAAGCCUGAUGCAGCGACGCCGCGUGAGGGAUGACGGCCUUCGGGUUGUAAACCUCUUUCAGCAGGGAAGAAGCGAAAGUGACGGUACCUGCAGAAGAAGCGCCGGCGAACUACGU